Molecule: long non-coding RNA, 4172 nt
Organism: Agrilus planipennis (emerald ash borer)
Lineage: Eukaryota; Metazoa; Arthropoda; Insecta; Coleoptera; Buprestidae
Exons: 3
Source: RefSeq, a predicted model, not a curated record
UACAAUCGAAAAUUGUAACUAUUGCGUAGUCAUAAAAAAUUUAGUUUUCUCGGUAUGUUUUAAAAUUGUGUUUUGAUUAUAUAGUAACUACCUACAGUAUCAUUUUUAUUUAUCGUAAAAAUAAUGGCGUGGGGUCAUAAAUUCUACCGCCGUGCACAAUAGCCCAUAGUCGUGGUUUGGAAACUUAAGACAGACAAGAUGAAUGCUGUUUAACAAUGAAAAACUAUCUGUGAAAUAUUACUGCUCCAGCAUUUGCCUACACGAUGUAACUAAUAAAGAAAAAUUUCAGCCAUGUUAGGCGAUUCAGAAUUAAAUAGAUGUGAUGGUGGGUGUCAACUAGGAUCCAGCCAGUAGAUCUUGAUACUUGGACCAUACUUUGGAUGCUGAAGAUAUUGAAAUUGUACUUUUAAGAUAAUAGAGGGUUCACAUAAUAAUUCAAAUGUUGAAAUUUCGUGGUAGUUAAGGCCGAAACAGACAUGUCCAGAUUCGAUUAGUUCGAUUAGAAACGAGUAGACUAAAACACUAAAUCCUUUGAUUUUUCUGAAAAACCACCACCUCAAUUUUGGCUUCAUAUCAAACCACUUACUCUAGGAUUUUGGAGUUUAUAGUAAAGGUGGCGUAUGAGAACUAAACAUUUAAUUAAGACUAAUGCCCGAAAAAACUGAUACUCCGUCAGUGUGGAAAUUUGUUAUUUGUUAUGACGAAAGAUUAAAAGUGUUUACCUGAACAGCACUCUAUUUGUUCAAUUAAAUAACUCGUCGUUUUAUCGCUGAUUAGUGGCUGAUUACUGUAAUCACUCACAGAUGGGUAAAUAUUUGAUUAUCAUACUGUUAUUUUUCCACCGUUAAACAGGCAUUAUAUCAUGUUUGCUAAAAAAAUGUGAUAGCAAACAAUAACAUUUGAACGAAUAAAGCAGUUUAACAGUUCAGAAUAACUCGAUCCGUUUAAUUAAUUAUUACAUUUAAUCGCUUGAAGAAUAUUUAAAGAGAUGCCCUUGGAUCCAGUGGAAGCAAAACUCAAAACCUAUAAUUCUAAGAUAAACGCAAGUCAUCGAAGUUUAAUUUCAAAGUUUUUACAUUCACAGGAAUAAAAGAACAAAUUAGGAAAACCGAAAAUAAGUCCCUUUUCUGAAAAAGGUUGGGACAUUUUGCUAUCAUGCAAUUCAAUUUUUUAGGUGACUUCGAGAUCUCCUAUAUGCAGAUGGGAUUGCACGUUCUUUACGAGACACUGCUUUUACUGUUAAAAUAGGUACAUAAAAAAUAAGUCAAGGAAGAUUAUAAUUUAAAAUGGUCCAAAAGUUGAAAAAUUAAAGUAUUCCUUGUAAAUUCUUUUACGGCAACAUUCCUAUCUCGCAAGUAAAUACGUAAUGAAUUCGUAACAAAAAGCAUCUUUGAUUUCGUGUUUCAAUUUUUUCGAAAUGCUACUUUUGGAUGUAGAGUAGGGAUAAAAAAUUAUUCAGCAAUCAAAGGUGAAUAUUAGGUUCCAAGAAAAAUUUAAGGCGGAUAAAGUGGAAACGAGCGACAUAUAAUUUAAUGUAUGCAGGAUUCUAACAACUUUCCGAGUUUUCAGAGAAAAUCUUUCACUGUUAAUUUAUCUUAUAAAUGUAAUUCUCCUUAAAUGUGAAUAGUUUAGAAUCCUUAGUUCAGUCUCCCAAGCAUUGGAAGUGAUAGAGAGAUUACCCAUCAACUCGAAACAAUAAUGAGGAUGAAAACCAAUGGCAGUUAUUAAGCAAGGGGCAAGAUAACGAUGUCCUUCGACGAUAUAGCAGCACUAUUCCAUAACAUAAAUGAUUUAUCGGAACUUCUGGAAAUAGUGAAUAAUACAUUUAAGGACUUCGGAUUAAAGAUGAGCAUCAACUGAACCACAAUUUUGACGGGAAUAGAACAAACAAAAUAGCUCAAACCCCAACGCCAAAACACGACACUGUAGUUGUCCGAAGCACUUUUCGGUGAAAGUUCACUUCAGUCCCUGAAGAAGGUAACUUUGUUACAGAAAAGUGCUUUGGACAAUUACAGUGUCGUGUUUUGGCGUUGGUGUUUGAGCUAUUUUGUUUGCACUACAACAACCGCCAAAAUUUUUCCAAUCUGCAUAUUUCGAUGGGAAUGUCUGCACAAAUAUUUAUUACCUCAACAAUAUUGUUUUUGCAGAUAUGACCUCUCAAGAGUACAAAAUUAGUAUUAAGAAUUGAUUUGGGAAAGUACAGGGCGUUUCUGAAAUAAGUAGAAAGAUUUGGAGAAUGUUUACUAGAAGCAAGAGAGAAUCGCAUGGUCAGUAAAGAAGUGUGAUUAAGGAACAAAAAAAAAAUGGAAGGAAACUAGACAACGUUGCAAUCUGAAGCCUGCCCUGUGCAUGAAUUGGUAACGUUUAGAGAGAACUGAGCAACUACGUCGAUGAAAAGUGUAAACAGUGACGGUUAGUAAUAAUAAAGUAUAUAUUUAUCAACAGCUUACUACCACCGUACUACACAUGAUAAUCUUUAAGCGCCCAUUAGCAAUAAAAAUUCCUUAAAUAACUACUUAUGCAGUACUAUUUAAAGUACGCACUGACAUGGCAUUAAGGACCCAAAGAAACAUACGUACGUAUGCUGCAAAAAUUACUACACUACUAAGUUGCGCAAAAACGUCCACGUUGGCGUACUGCAUUUCCACUAAUCAUAUACGAUCAUGCAAAUUUUUAACAUUCUGAAAUGGCAUUGAAACUAAAAUGAAUUCAGAUUAGGACUACGCUCCGGUCAUGGUCAAAGGACCCAUGCAUACAUCCAAUCCAUCGUCUAGGAAAAUGUUUAUCUAGAAAUUAUCGCAUUGAGAUAUUGACCUACUUCUAAUGAUUUCGAGUGUCUAACUACAUAUGUAAUACAAGCUUACAACGUUAAAAGAAUAAAAAGCUACUCUAGACUGGCUGUAAACAACAUAACACUUAAUCUAAUCUGAUAAAUAACAAAUAAUAUAUGAAUACAAGAAUACAAAAGAAAUACAACACGGAUGCUGUUAAGUAACAGCUGAUUGAAUGCAGCGUUGCAGUGUCGUAUUUCCUUCCGGACUGACCCUUAGUUGUACUUUUAAAUAUGUUUUUCUCGAAAACGGUGUACUUUCUGGCUACCUACAAAAUUUACUUGAUUUUGUUUUUUUAUACUGGGCUAUCAGCUCCUGUAAGCUUGCUGCUUAUAUCAGAAACACCCUGUAUAAUGUAAGGACGAAUCGAAGAUUAGUUGAAGCUAAAGAAUGACUGAUGUUUUUAUUUAAUCAUCCUUUUUGAAACCGACAAGGUUGUGUUAAGAAAAUGGAUUCAUAGCAUGCAAUGUUUUAUAAGAAGUAUAAAAUUCUGUAGUGCAUUUCUAUGACUGAAAUAUUGAAACAAAAAAUCAAUUCCAAGAAGUACUUACUAUUCAUUUUAAGCUUUCUUUAUUUUAUUUCUUGUAAAGCAUUGUUACUUAUCACGGUUGAUGAAAAAUUAUGGAAGUUUAAGGAGUUUCUGUCUUUUUGGAUUGAAAGAAACCCAGCCAUUAAGAGAGGAUACGUAUAAAACUUUUGAAAGAAGUUUUAAUAAGGGAAAGAAGAACGUAAUAAAGGACACCAAUCAAUCAAAAUUUAGACAAAAAAAAGAUCGAUUAUGAAUGGAUCUUAUAUUAUCUCAUUAUUAUUUGUAGACUACUGAAAUUAUCUGUAUCCUGUCCCAAAUUUAAGCCACAUCUGUUACUUAAAGUUUCUUUUUUGUAUCUUAUUUUCUUCGUAAUUAGUGAACAUGCUUCUAUAUUUACGUUAUUUACUCUUGCUUUACCAUUAAAAGAAACUGAAAUGAAUUUUUCCAUGUAUCAAGGAGCAUAAGAGGGUAAAAAAUUAUUUAUGAGAACAUUGUCAAAGAACAGAUCUAUAUCCUGUUACAAUAUUGCAAGUAACGGUAAUGUAUCAUAUAAACAAACUGACAGAGUUAGCAAAGAUUACUAUACAAAAAGGUGCAAAAUUAAAUAUAAACUAUAUCAAUAUUUCAAUAUUCCUAUCAAAUUCGAGCUUUCCAUAAAAAAUUAUAAAUUUAGAUAACAAGUUUUGACAUGCCAAUAUUGUUUCUAAGAUAUUUAAAUUUGUCUUUGGGCACAGUUUUUGUAAAAAAAUCAGCAUACAGAUUAUUGGUGUGUACAUAAAUAUUUCUGACUAAUAAUACUUCCAUAGUAUUGU